Molecule: transfer-messenger RNA, 356 nt
Filed under: Arenicellaceae
Lineage: Bacteria; Pseudomonadati; Pseudomonadota; Gammaproteobacteria; Arenicellales
Also listed under: 3 other names
Description: Arenicella sp002470515 Standard tmRNA
Rfam family: transfer-messenger RNA
About the family: Bacterial tmRNA, also known as 10Sa RNA or SsrA, is named for its dual tRNA and mRNA-like properties. Its role is to liberate the mRNA from a stalled ribosome.
Source: RNAcentral
GGGGGCGACAUGGCUUCGACAUGGGUCGCGAAACCUUCGGUGCAUGUAGAGCAUGUGACUUGUCUCUUAAAACCAGUUACAAAAGUUAUAGUUGCAAACGACGAUAACUACGCACUAGCAGCUUAGACUGUUAGGGUCUUGCCCGGGUUGUUCAUGGCCUUGGAUUUUAGGCCUCAAAUCACAUGAAAUCGCUCGCACCUUGUGUCGAUUAAGGGGCUGCUAAAACACAAUUCGACUCACCCCGAAACGAGUGCGUUUGUCCAGUUGCGAGGGGUUAAAUUGAAGACAAACUAAACAUGUAGAUCCGAUGAGCGGAGGGCUUGUGGACGCGGGUUCGAUCCCCGCCGCCUCCACCA